GAUGAACGCUGGCGGCGUGCCUAAUACAUGCAAGUCGAGCGAACAGACGAGGAGCUUGCUCCUCUGACGUUAGCGGCGGACGGGUGAGUAACACGUGGAUAACCUACCUAUAAGACUGGGAUAACUUCGGGAAACCGGAGCUAAUACCGGAUAAUAUAUUGAACCGCAUGGUUCAAUAGUGAAAGACGGCUUUGCUGUCACUUAUAGAUGGAUCCGCGCCGCAUUAGCUAGUUGGUAAGGUAACGGCGUACCAAGGCAACGAUGCGUAGCCGACCUGAGAGGGUGAUCGGCCACACUGGAACUGAGACACGGUCCAGACUCCUACGGGAGGCAGCAGUAGGGAAUCUUCCGCAAUGGGCGAAAGCCUGACGGAGCAACGCCGCGUGAGUGAUGAAGGUCUUCGGAUCGUAAAACUCUGUUAUUAGGGAAGAACAAAUGUGUAAGUAACUAUGCACGUCUUGACGGUACCUAAUCAGAAAGCCACGGCUAACUACGUG
This 497-nucleotide ribosomal RNA is filed under the name uncultured bacterium. RNAcentral describes it as "partial 16S ribosomal RNA". It matches the Rfam family "Bacterial small subunit ribosomal RNA", at positions 28 to 507 of the family's 1533-position model. The record is from RNAcentral.